RNAcentral lists this ribosomal RNA (728 nucleotides) under uncultured bacterium. RNAcentral's name for it is "bacterial SSU rRNA". It matches the Rfam family "Bacterial small subunit ribosomal RNA", at positions 771 to 1501 of the family's 1533-position model. The record is from RNAcentral.
AACAGGAUUAGAUACCCUGGUAGUCCACGCUGUAAACGAUGAGUGUUAGGUUCUUGGAAUAAUCUGGGAGCCGCAGCUAACGCAUUAAACACUCCGCCUGGGGAGUACGCACGCAAGUGUGAAACUCAAAGGAAUUGACGGGGACCCGCACAAGCAGCGGAGCAUGUGGUUUAAUUCGACGCAACGCGAAGAACCUUACCAAGUCUUGACAUAAUACGGAGGCAAUUAGAGAUAAUAGCUUAUCACUUCGGUGAACUGUAUUACAGGUGGUGCAUGGUUGUCGUCAGCUCGUGUCGUGAGAUGUUGGGUUAAGUCCCAUAACGAGCGCAACCCCUAUCGUUAGUUACCAUCAUUAAGUUGGGGACUCUAGCGAUACUGCCGGUGAUAAACCGGAGGAAGGUGGGGACGACGUCAAAUCAUCAUGCCCUUUAUGACUUGGGCUACACACGUGCUACAAUGGCAGAUACAGAGGGCAGCGAAAGAGUGAUCUGAAGCGAAACUCACAAAAUCUGUCCCAGUUCGGAUUGCACUCUGCAACUCGAGUGCAUGAAGUUGGAGUUGCUAGUAAUCGCGAAUCAGAAUGUCGCGGUGAAUGCGUUCCCGGGUCUUGUACACACCGCCCGUCACACCAUGGGAGUUGGCAAUACCCGAAGCCUGUGAGCGAACCAUUAGGACGCAGCAGUCGAAGGUAGGGUCAGUAACUGGGGUGAAGUCGUAACAAGGUAACC